Molecule: non-coding RNA, 120 nt
Organism: Caenorhabditis elegans
Lineage: Eukaryota; Metazoa; Nematoda; Chromadorea; Rhabditida; Rhabditidae
Source: Ensembl
GUGGGGCGAUAUAGCAACACAUACGAAAAGCCAUAAAACAAGAUGAUUUAGUAGUGGUCGUCGUAUGUCCGACACACAUACACCAUUCGACAGCAACAGCAGCAGCAGACGAGAGGAAAG